RNAcentral lists this long non-coding RNA (25853 nucleotides) under Setaria viridis. Its description in RNAcentral is "long non-coding RNA (SVIR_LNC002149)". Lineage: Eukaryota; Viridiplantae; Streptophyta; Magnoliopsida; Poales; Poaceae. The record is from RNAcentral.
UGGGUCGCCUGCUGGCUCGGGUGGAAACCCUUGAUCACCACCCUAUCUGAAUCUGUAUUUUGGAAAAGCUUAUCAUGCUUACUCUACUAUGUAUUUAGUCGAACCCUGCUUAAUCUUGCCGUGUGGCAUAGCCCCGACCCACUACCCUCGCCAAACAUGGCCAAUAUGGUGUGUGUAAUGUUAGGUCAAAAUCCUUUUUAUUUAAGUGUAUAUUUGUUUGCCUUAAAGAGGAGUGUAUUGUCCUUUUCGGUUUGUGAUGCGUAUGAAAUAAACAAAAUUGUUUGUGUUUGGCACUUCAUGCCUUUUGACGGUCAGUUUCUUGAUCAUGAUCCAAAGAAGCUUUCUUGGUCAGUUUAUCUCACAUCUAAUUAAAUGGCUCCCAAAUAGCUAUUGCUACUAGGACGAUUCUUCGGACUACAUAUCACUCAAUUUCAAUUUUCAUCUGAGUGAGUUUGGAGCCUACGAAUUCAGAUGAUUUUUCGCGAGAGUAGUCCUCUUUUUCUUAGGUGGUGAUGAAACCAUCCCUUCGUAGGAAUCAGGGCCACCGGUUUCGAGAAUUUUAGCAUCACAAUUCACACACGAAGUCUCGCUGCCCUCCCUUCCUUGGUGGUCAGCCCAUAUAGAAUUUUUCAUGGCCCAUAAAAGGACUUUCGAACUCCUCGAGGGUUGGGUUCGAGCAUAGGAUGUUUCCAUGGCCCAAAUCUUCCCGUUAGCAACCUUCUUCUGUCAGUAGCUUCUCCUCUCGCGUUAAUAGCACAACCAUCAGUUGUUGAUAGCAGGUCAAGUACCAUCACUCUGUUAAUAGCAGGUCAAGCAGUGUGACGGAAACGCACGAAAUAAAAAGUCCCCAACAUGGCCGCGUGCACCCGUGUCAAGUCUCCUCCCGUCGAGAUCACGAGACUCCGCGUGAGACCGAUCCGCGCUCAUGGCCGGUGCUGACAAAUCGCGGUAGCUUGGCGUGAUCAAAAGCACCAGGUACGGUUACUGAUGCAUGCGAUACGAUUUGCCAGAUCGCUCACGGCCGUGCACUAGUUUUCUACCCUCCCGUGCCUCUCGUCAUAUUGUCCUUCCGCGCGUCGAGGCCUUUCGUUUCUCACCGCCAGCGGCCGCUGACGCGGUGCGUGUGCUUGUGUUUUCUUCUCUGCCUGCAGGUCGUUACCAACUUGGAAACCGCCAGCGAUCAUUGACAACGACUCCGAGGGUCGAACGCGUGAGCUCGUAAUAACAGGCAGGACGCUGAAUGCUCACCCUCAUCAGCCUCAGCCACACCGUUUGAAUCUUUCAACCAUCCGUGUGGAUUGCUAACGCUAAUUGUUGUCAUCGAUGGACAUGUUUUAAAAGCGAAAACAACGUGAAACCAAGCAGGAUCGGAGGAGUUGCCCCGGUCAGUUACGCUUGCGCGUGGGGGUGCGUGCCCUCUGACCACCCUGGCCCCAGCGGCAGCCACCCAACGAGCCAAAGGCCAUGUCAUUCCGUCAACAUCCGCCGCACCAUUUUCCUCUCCAACUCCCCCUACCCAAAAGCCCACGAACUUUCCCAGGCUCCUUCCGCACACCCAACACGCGGCCAAGCACCCGGCGGCACCCCUACAAAUACGCCCCCGCCCACCACGUUCCCGAUCGAAAACCAUCAAACCCCACCGUGCCCAUCCCCCGAAAACCCCACAAACCACCGAGCCCCAGAACGAUAUCCUCCGAUCCCCCAAACCACCGCCUCCCAGUCUCAACCAUGGCGUUCCGGCUGAGCAACAACCUGAUCGGGAUCCUGAACGCGGUGACCUUCCUUCUCUCCAUCCCGAUCCUGGGCGCGGGCAUUUGGCUGGGCCACCGCGCCGACGGCACCGAGUGCGAGCGCUACCUCUCGGCGCCCGUAAUCGCGCUGGGGGUCUUCCUCCUCGUCGUCUCCAUCGCGGGGCUCGUCGGCGCCUGCUGCCGCGUCACCUGGCUGCUCUGGGUCUACCUCCUCGCCAUGUUCGUCCUCAUCGUCGCCCUCUUCUGCUUCACCGUCUUCGCCUUCGUCGUCACCAACCGGGGCGCCGGGGAGGCCGUGUCGGGCCGGGGGUACAAGGAGUACAGGCUUGGGGACUACUCCAACUGGCUGCAGAAGCGGGUGGAGAACAACAAGAACUGGAACAGGAUCAGGAGCUGCCUCCAGGGCUCCAAGGUCUGCAAGAACCUGCAGGACAAGAAGGAGUCGGUCACCGACUUCAUGCGUUCCGACCUCUCCCCGAUCGAGGUACUUGCUUAAUUACGUGAAAAAUGCAUUUUUCUUCCCUUAAUCUUCAGUCUCAGUUUUUUUUUUGACAAAUCACCAAGACAGAUUCUAAAACAAACUCUAUCUAUCUGUAGCCGGCGUUUUGUCUUACAGAAAAAGAAUACUUCUUUUUCAUUCACGUGUCAUUCAUACUUUAGUGGUCGCGAAUUGCGAUGUGACUUUGGGAGGAUAGUAGUAAUGCCAAAAGACUUUGAAGAAACGGUAGCUUGUGAAACGCAAAACCUUAUCUUAGGCCCGGCUGAUGGUUACUUGUACGGUUGUGCAUCUCGAUCAGACGUACACAAUUUGGAAUUCUGUCUAAAAAUGCAUUGGGCUUAGCGUUGAUAUUGUCAACGGAUUACUCCUAUUUUAUAGUGACAUAUCUUCGGUCCAUAUCAACCUUUACUACCUGCUCUGAAGUCUGAACUGCUCCCGAUGCUCUGACCGCUGCAUUAUUGAAGGAAGAAUUUUCGUUCAUCGCACAUGCUUGCAUUUCAACGCUCUGGUGCACUUGCACUCAACUUUUAGGUCGCGUAACCCAAUCGUUUCACGAAACGGCUCCACCUGAAACUAUCAUAGGGGGUGUUUGGAUGCGAGGUACUAAACUUUAGGAGAGGUCACAUCGGAUGUUCGGACGCUAAUUAGAAGGACUAAACAUGAGUUAAUUAUAAAACUAACUGCAGAACCCCUAUACUAAUUCGCGAGACGAAUCUAUUAAACAUAAUUAAUCCAUCAUUAGCAAAUGGUUACUGUAGCACCACAUGGACUAAUUAGGCUUAAUAGAUUCGUCUCGCAAAUUAUACUCCAUCUGUGCAAUUAGUUUUGUAAUUAGCUUAUGUUUAAUACUCCUAAUUAGUAUCAAACAUCCGAUGUGAUAGGUACUAAAGUUUAUGAGGGAGUUGCCAAACACCCCCAUAAACAACUGAAACUGUUUUAUUUACUUGUAGUAUUUACCUAAACAACGUCAUGUGAUGUUGAAAGUUCCCAGUCAUGAGUAUUGAGUAGUAGCCCUGCAUAUGUGCUGCUCUGUUUCAAAGGCUCAUCGCUGUUCUUGUUGCUCGUGCAGUCUGGGUGCUGCAAGCCCCCCACCAGCUGCGGCUUCACCUACGUCAGCGGCACGGACUGGACCAAGACCACCGCCACCAACUCGUCGUCGGAUCCGGACUGCAACACCUGGAGCAACGAUGCGCUCUGCUACGACUGCCAGUCGUGCAAGGCCGGCGUGGUGGCCACCGUCAAGCGGGACUGGAAGCGCACCGCCAUCGUCUGCAUCGUCUUCCUCGUCUUCAUCAUCAUCGUCUACUCCAUCGGAUGCUGCGCUUUCAGGAAUAACCGCAGGGACAAUGCCUACCACGGCGGCUGGAAGGGCGGGUACGCCUGAUCUGGUCGAUCCACCGUCGUUUCGGAGCCUAGCAGACGAGAUCCGCUGCUCGAUUGGUCGAGCGUGCCAGCUCAGUGCUCUGCUCUCGCUGUCCUGCGGUCGCUUUCGUCCUAUAUGUUUAGGCUUCAUCUAGCUCUGUACAGUCGAGGUUGUUACAGCUUCUUAUCGUCUGCUAGUCACUUUGUUAUGAUCUGAUCACUGGUCAGCAGUAGGUUUUGUACAUGCUGUUCGUUGAUUUUGAUAUACUGCUCUAUAUUCGUAUGUGGAUGCCUUUAUUCUACAUGUUACUUUGGUGAAGGCUUUUCGGUUUUCCACUUUCUUUCCAAAACUUCUUCGCUUGACACGAAACAACGAGAUCUUUGCUUGACACGGCAGAGGAUUAGCUAGUCCCAUUUUUUUAAGAGAGAGAGAGAGAGAGAGAGAGAGAGAGAGAGAGAGAGAGGAUUAGCUAGCUAAUUUCUACUCUUUCCAGCGAUCUCUGUCAAUCUUUACUCUGUUUUCUUGCCAUGAUAUCACCAACCUGAAGUUGUUGAGCUAAUCACCAUUUCGGACGGGUUGCACAAAACUAUUGCACUUAUCCCCGUCCUGCACUGCACACAAAGUAGCACACGGUUCUGCUACUGACCGUCCCCGAUGAAGUAAUCCAAGAAAGGGUGGGAGACGAAGGCUCCAAGUCUUGAGCCAUGACGAAGCGAUAGGAAAGCUGUGGUGCCCCAUGAGAGGCAAGUGCAGCCUAACGUGCCGUCUGAAAAUAUCCACCCCUUCCCACUUUCACUGCCCAGGUUCCGAAAACAACUCCGGGCACCACCAUCUUGCUUUGUCGUCUUCGGUGUACGAUUCUUUCCUAUCAACCUAAUGGUCAUGCUUAACACGGGACUAUGUCCUUGGCAUCUUCCUUGUCAGAUGAGAAAUAUCUUAGCGAUGGCAGCAGAUAUUAGACAGUGAUAGAUCGAUGGAUGGUCCAGCCAAUGAAGGCUCGGCAGAUUGUUACGGGCACCAAUAUCAGGUUCCAAAAGGAUGCUAAAACUUGAAUGGAUCGAGAAAGGUGUAACUUCAGUGGAGUCCAUGAGCACAUGGGCUGAUGACUUGAUGUAGGCGCAAAUGUGUAAAUCCGUAAAUGCGCUUGCUGUUCCUAGUGGAGUUACUGGUUCCAGAAGUGGUGGUGACUAUUGCUGGUUCGCCUGGAAAUAUCCAAGGGGACUGACUGGGGCCAGCGGCUUGGUCCUUUCAGAGAAUGAAGUGAUAGAGCCGGCAUUAUAUUGCUCGAUGGACUAUUUCACUAGAAAAUGCUCUAUGAAAUGAAUUUGAGAGGAACUUUGCCCACCCAAAUUUCUUAUUUUGUUUUUCCUUGCAAUACUCUUCUAUAAGUAUUGUAAACUAGAGAAGACUUGCAGGUUGUGCAUUGGACUGUUACCGCAACAGGGCAGCUAGAUAGCUUAAAGCCUUAAACAUAGCUAAUUUUCAAUCGCUUUUCAAAGGUUAUAUGUUAACGUGAAACAUUCAACUACCAUUAGUACAACUUAAACACGACAUUCUCCAGUGUAUUAUAAAAAAACCCAGCAUGUUUGAGUAUUUUCAUUGAUCGCGUUCUUAGAUAACAACGGUUCAGAAAGGUUAGUUUGUACUGUGUGAUUCGGCAUAAAAAAAAGAUUAGUUUGGCACUCUAAUCUUACACAAACAAUCUGCAUUUUAGGUCCAUUUACGUUUGGAGUUGCUAGAAUUGGUAGUCAUUAUAUUGCUUUUUUGCAUCUCAGCUUUACAUAACGGCACGGCAUACAAAUCCGACAAUUGAGGCCAAUGAUUUGAUUUCUCAGAAAAUAAAGUGAGAGAUGUGGCAUUAUAUUGUUUGACGGAACAUUCUCUAGGAAAUGUUCUAUGACACCAUUAUUUUUUUUAAAAAAAAAUCUUGCCAACACAUGAUGCUUUGCCUUUUUUUACUGCAAUACUCUUCCAAAAAUCAUGAUUAGCUAGAAGAAGACUUGCAGGUUGUGCAUUGGACUAUUUUUUGGUAAUAGGAUAGUUGAAUAGUAUGGAAGCAGAUCAUUUUUAAUUCCUUUGGAAAGCUUGACACUAGCAUGAAACAUUGCAACUAUCGCUAGCAUGCCUAAAAUGAAAUGCAGUUCUCCAGUCUAUUCUUGAAAAAUAAAAUUAGUAUUAUGCAGAUAGAAAAGGAUAAAGAAAAAGAAAAUCAGCAUGUCUGAGUAUUAGCAUUACCAUUGUCAGAAACAGCGAGUCUGAAAGAUGGUAAAACUUGAAUGAACUGAGAAUGGUGUAACUUCAAUGGAAUCCAUGAGCACAUGGGCUGAUGACUUGAUUAGGCCCACAUAUGUUAAUCAGUAAACGCGAUUGCUGUUACUAGUGGAGUUACUGACUCCAGAAGUGGUGGUGACUGUUGCUGGUUCGCUUGGAAAUAUCCAAGGUGACUGGGACGGGACCGACGGUUUGGUCUUUUCAGAAAUGAAGUGACAGAGCUGGCAUUAUAUUGCUCGAUGGAAUAUUUCACUAGAAAAUGCUCUAUGACAUCAGUUUGAGAGGAACUUUACCUGCACAAAAUUUUUCUUUUGUGUUCGCUUUGCCAUACUUUUCUACUAUUAUUGUAAACUAGAAAGACCUGUAGUAGAAGGUUGUGCAUUGGACUGUUUCAGCAACAGGCCAGCUAGGUAGCUUAAGCAUAGCCAAUUGUCAAUCCUUUUUUCUUUUUUGAGCAAGCCAAUUGUCAAUUCUUCCUAAGAUUAGCGACUACUAGUAUACACCUACCAUUAGUAUGCCCAAAAGGAUACACUGCUCAGCAUAUUAGUAUGUCUGAAACAAUACACAUGAAACAUUUAGCGACUACUAGCAUGUCUCAAUAUUUCCAUUGAUCAGCGUUAAGAUAAUAAUGGUUCUGAAAUCUUUUGUGGUGUUGCACUCUACUCUUACACAGAUAUAACAUGCAUCUUCGAUUCGUUGGUGUUUGCAGUGACUAGAAGCGAGUCUGUCCCCUCACACUUUGCAUCAUCUGCUUUGCUAACAGCAUGGCAUACGAUCUGAGAAAUGAGACGAAUUUGUUUGAUUUUUUAGAAAGCGAAGCGAGGGGACCGGCACUAUAUUGUUUGAUGGAACGUUCCACUAGGAAAUGUUCUAUGACGUCAAUAUUUUAAAAAAACUUUGCCAAGAAACAAUGCUUUGUUUUUAAAAUACUGAAAUUACUCUUGAAAAAGUCAUUAUUAACUAGGGAAGACUUGCAACCUUGCAGGUGAUGCCUUGGACCAUUUUUGGUAAAUGAAAAUAUACCUCAAAUCUUAAUUCCUUUGGAAAGCUUUACACUGACAUGAAACAUCGCAACUAUCGCUAGCAUAUCUAAAAUGAUAUGCCGUUCUCCGGUGUAUCUUGAAGAAUAGAAUUAGCCUUACGUGAAAAGAAAAAAAAAGGAAAAAUGUAUUCAACGUGUCUGAUUAUUACUAUUACCGUUGUCAGGCUCAGGCAACAAUGGUUCUGAAAGAUUGGUCCGAGGCUCUAUCGAAACACCGAUACAGUCUGAAUCUACACCUCCUUUGGAACCACUAGAAUGGAUUGCCAGACUCUCGCUCUUCGCGUCAUCUGCUUUGCCCCACAGCACCACAUACAAGCCGACAAUGAUAGUGAUAGCUCCUAAUACGCUGCACGAAACAAAGUUCACUGUGAAGACGCACAAGAACAGCGAUUAUCUACUUUCCAAACAGGGUGCUAGUAUCAGAAUGAAGCAUACCUUCCAAUAUGGAGUUCUUCAUGCAGGAAGAGUGUAGAUAACAUUGCUGUGAUCACUGCACUCAGGGGCGUAAAGAUUGCGCUGUAAAGGGGGCCUUUCACUGAUAUGCACCAGGAUUGGAUGAAAAAGUUUGCGCCGGAGGCAAAUACUCCCUGCAAAAAUUGUUCGAUAAUUUCGAUUGAUGAGUAGCAAUUCAAAGUUUCAAACCAGUGUGUAGACGAACGAUCAAGAAUGGAUUCGGCUGAACUUACUCCAUAUAAGAUGCAGGGGAACUCCCAGAACGAGGUGAGCUUCCAAAUUUGCAAGUAGUUUGGCUCCAGGAAGAAGGCCAUCACCGCGCACUGCAAGGUCGCUAAAAAGCACAUCCAGGUCGCCAGAGACAGGGGAUCAAGGUACUUUUUGCAGACGGGCACCUAAAACCACACCAUCACUUGAUCAGUCACCUUAAACCCCAGCAAUAGCGCGUUGAAUCUUGCCGAUGCAGGGCGAUUGCAAGCAUCGCUGCAAUUAGUUACCUGGAAGAUGUACCAGAUGGCGACGCAGACAGCAUUUCCGACGAGAUAAACCCCUCCUUUCACCCAGUCGCUAGUCGGCGAGAGAAGAACCGCGCCGAGGAGCUUGGGACCCUUGAAGAACGCCAUGAACAUUGCUCCGGCGAGGCAGAUGGCGGUGCCGACGAUCUUGGCGACGCUUCUCAGGUUUCUGAUAUCCACCUUCUCUAACCUGUGAACCGAAUCGAAGGCGGGAGUAAGAAUUUGGGCCGCUGCUGCCUGCUGGGCGAGGUCACAAUUCUAAUUUCGAAUUUCGAAUUUUUUUAUUUUAUAUAUAUUUUUUUACAAAUUUGCAUAAAUAUACAGUCGAAUCAAAAAUUUGCAAAAAUGGGUAUCGCCAGAUGAGAUGGCAGUAGCGCCGCCCCCCUGCUGCAGGCUUGCUUCCACCCAUUUUGGACCGCGUGCCACCCAUUUUGCAUGUGGUGGUUCCUGCCACCCAUCAUUUCGGGCCCUAUGCUCCCUAUCACCGGUGGUGGUUCUCGCCCUGACGGUGGUCCAAUUGAUUACUGCAACAGCUAUUGAUAGGUCCAGCUUCGUGCAAGUAGCAGCACAGUGCAGCAUGCAUGCAUGAAAAGGCACGACCAGGGCAGCGGAAACCCAUUUUGCAAGGUGCUGGUGGUGUUGCAGGCUCUUUUUGGACCGCGUAAUGCGGAAUAUGUUGUUUCACUCGUUUGGAGCUGCGCAAGGUGGGUGAAGCCCUACCGCCGUUUCAAACGGCGGUAAUAAGGGUCCCACCGUCGUUUCAGCCGACAUACACCUAUUUUUGCAAAUUUUUUAUUCGACUAUAUAUUUGUGCAAAUUUGUAAAAAAAAUAUAAAAUAAAAAAAAUUCUAGAAUUUCUAAAUGGGCUGUUCUUGACGACAUUUAUUAAUUGGAGGUCUCUUGGCCCACGAAACAAAUAAGCCCAUAUGAAAGAAUUUAGCCUGGCCCAGUAGUCCCCCAAAACGCGAAGUGGUGGGCCCAACUUUCCGGUCAGAAAAGGGAAAAACACCUCUCAAAAAAAGAAAAGGGAAAAAACAAAAAUAAAAUAGAAAGGAAAAAAAACUGUACACGUACCCGAUGACGGCGGCGAUGGCGAAGGUGAUGCCGGGGGCGAGGUUGGUGGUGGCCCUGGCCAUGGACGGAGACGCCAGGAGCAGCCCCUCGAGGUAGAAGUACUGCCCAGUCGCGCUGUCCGAUCGAGUCAGAGAGAGUGAACCCAAACUGUACUUAUCUGGCCGGAGAGAACAGGGGAGGACGAGGAGCUUUGGCUUUGCGUACUGACGUGGCUAGGGAUGCCGCGAAGAUGAGCCCGAAGGCCCGCGCGCCGACGGCCAUGGGCCGCAGCGUGCAGCCCCUGGCGGCGAAGGAGGCGAGGAGGAGCGUGGCAGCGGCGAUCCCCUGGCGGUAGGUGACGAAGACGAUGGGCCGCAUCCCCACCCGGGACGCCGUCUUGAGCGCCACGUCCACCAGCGCGUAGAACAGCUGCACCAGCACCAUCCCCACGCUCGGUCCGUAACGCUCCAGCCACGGACCGCCGCCCGCCAUGGCUGGCUAGAUCGAGGGAGAGAGGUGGGAGCGAGAUUAUUGGGGCCUCACUUCGCCAGCUAUGUAGGAGCAUCCAUGUGCGCGCGCCGGCCGGGCGCAGCCGAGCUGAGUCAGCUGCGCCGUCAUCACUCUUUGCGUUUUUGUUUAUGGUUUGGGCAAUUGUUUUCCGUGGUCAACUCAAACCAAUCCUUUGAGAUAGAAGAAUUCGUGGUUAUGCAAAUUAAGUAACUUAUCGAGAUGCAGUUCUAUAUGCAUGUACGGGCCAUGCCCUGCUGCUCAUCGUGAAAUUACCUACUGGUGCUAAACUUUAGCAGUGUCACAUCGGAUGUUCGGAGACUAAUUAGAAGGACUAAACAUGAGCUAAUUCUAAAACUAAUUGCAGAACCCCGAGCUAAUUCGCGAGAUGAAUCUAUUAAACCUAAUUAAUUUAUCAUUAGCAAAUGGUUACUGUAGCACCACAUUGUCAAAUCAUAAACUAAUUAGGUUUAAUAGAUUCGUCUCGCAAAUUAGACUCGAUCUGUAUAAUUAAUUUUAUAAUUAACUUAUAUUUAAUACAUCAAAUAUGGCACCCAGACACCCCUAAGCAAACUUCGAUUUCUCUUCUUCUACUUGGAUCCCGUCGCCAUUUUGCAGGUUAGCAUCUCCACCACAUGUGCGCACAGCGUACCUGUCGCGCAUCCAACCCUUCAGUUUAUUGCCGCCAAAUCAUAUCAGGCAGCAACUUGCAGCAGCAGGAGCAGCAGCAAUUUUCAUGGCAAAGAAAGACUGCAGAGCUGAAAGGGAUCCUCUGUUCCUCUAUCAGCUGGGUGCUUGUGAGCGUGCGGCGCCUGCCAGGAGAGGCGCAGCGAGAGUGUGCUCCACGUCGAGCUGAGCGUCAGACCGCGCGGUCCCGUCCGUCGAGUCUUUGCUCUGGUCCGGCCCCCUCCCCUUCCUCGCGUCCUCUGCUUUGCCCCACAGCACGACGUACAGGCCGGCGACGACAGCGACGGCGCCUACCAAGCUGGAUAAAGAAACAAAAAUGAUGUCACUCUCCUUAUCAGUCUCUGAUGAUGCAAAUGCAAACGGCGCCUGCUCGGUGCUCGCUCGGGGUGGGCAUCAGAGAACUGAAGUCAUAUUCAGGUCUCUCUUUCAGAGAAGGGACGUGCCUUCCGAUGUGCAGCUCUUCGUGGAGGACGACGGCGGAGAGCGCGGUGGUGACCACGGUGCAGAGCGGGGUGAACAUGGCCGAGUAGAGGGGGCCCCUCACCGAGAUGCACCACGACUGCAGGUAGAACACCACGCCUGACCCGAACACGCCCUGCAUAAUCCCAUCGGGUGCGACAUGACCCCGUCAGCCAAGACCUCAGAUUGCUUCUCCGUCUUCUAGUUUCUCAAGGAAGCUGCGUGUGUACUCACGGCAAAGAUGUAGCAUGAGAGCUCGAAGAGGGAGUGGAUCUUCCACGAGCUACGGUUCGGUAGCAGGAAGAAGGUGACCGCCGCGGAUUGCAGCGUGGACAGGAAGCAGGUCCAGGCCGAUAGGGUCAGAGGAUCCAUGUACGAUCUGCAGAUGGGCGCCUGAAAUCCAAAAAUGAGCUGCCUAUGAGAUUGUGCUGCCACUUAAUUUAAGUAGAGAAUGCAGUGGUGGUUGAUCACUAAUUCAAGAUCCUCUUUGAUACCUGGUUAAGUUUAGAUGGCUAAAUUUAACUGCUAAGAGUUCAAAUAUGUCCAGCUAAACUUUAUUCAAAAUCUAAAAAAAGCUUUAGCCAUUAGCUGGCCAGGAGUAGCUAAAACUAGCUUAAAAGUAAGCGAAGUCCAAAAUACCUCUAAGAUUUCUUAAAAAUACCCACUACCACAGCAUUAACUCCUUUCCCCGCAGCCCUGCCGAGCGCCGCCCGCCACCCAUCGACGCGCCGCCGCCCCUCCCAUCGGCGCACGACGGAAGUAGUAGAAAUCAAAACUUACUGCUACUAGCUGGCUACUACAUUGCUGUGCGCACAAGCUGCUGAUGGAGGACAGGAUCAGUUCAGUGGGAACUGCACAAUCAAACAUCGGAACAUGAAAGUUCUCCAAUUUGCCUCUCGUGGAACCGAUUUAAGUCUCCCCUGUGCUUGGUCUAGGCAUGAAAUCAGCACGUCAAAAAAAUCAAGCAGAAGCAAGAAACAUCGAAUCAAAGUGUCAUGCGUACUUCAAUUAAAAAUAAAGCCUACAGAGCUUGAGUAUGCACAACCUAAAAAUAUUUGACAAACAUUUCGCAUUGAAUAUAUUGUUCACUAAUACGGGAAAUCAAUGGCGAUGUGAAUGCUUGCUCAUAUACAUUGCCUUGGGAAAAAACCCACUAAAUAUAUUUCUUAUUAGGCUAUUUAUUAGUCAAACUUGACAAAGUUCGAAUUUUUUUUACGAAACACAGUAUAGACGCAAAUGCUCACAAACACGCACGCACACUCACUUUACUGACGUCUCGUUAUCGGUGUGUAUAUCGCUUACUAUUGAAUGAAUAGCGCCGGUUAAAUCCAGUGUAAUGCGAGAACUCGAACCUGAUGGGCAAGUUCCAUCAUAAGAAAUCUUAACAGCUGAGUUACACUCAGUUCGCGACAAAGUCCGAAUCUUCACACACAUAUGUGAAUGUUUUUCUUAUCAUUACAGCUUUAAUAAUCCCUUAUUUGCCACUAUGCAUGGAUCAAUAACAUAUAUAGGUAUGCGCACAUACGGUACUGGCACAUGAAAGAUCAAUAAGGAAUUGAAAAUUUUCAGUGAAAAAAAAUCCCUACUUAUAAUUUUGAGAAAAGGAUUCUACAGCUAAGAGAAAAGGAUUACAUGCUAAUGAAAAUGGUUGCUUAGCACACUGACCUGCAAGAUGAGCCAAAGGGACCAACAGGAGCUGCUGCCGAUGAGGAAGAGCGCUCCCAUCACCCAAUCGCUGCUUGACGGGGUAAGCAUGUACGAAUCAUGGAGAGAGAGCUUCAGCAGCUUUGGGCCUUUGAAGAAUGCAAUCGUGAUAGCUCCUCCGAUGCAGACUGCAGUGCCGAGGACCUUCGCAAUGCUAGCUACUUCUUUGAUGUUUACUCUUUCUUGCCUGUUGAUGAAUUAGAUGCAUGAAGCGAUAAUGACAGCGAUGCAACAUUUCAGAAUCUUACCAAAGAAACUGAACUCAACCUAUCAUGUACAGUAGCAGUUUUCUACAAAACUAUUAGCUACUUUUCUGUCAGCCAUCAAUUUUUUUUUCGCCAGGAAAGUACAGGUAGGAAAAUACGUUGAUAGAUUUUUGGAAGAAAAUUGGCAGAUUCUCCUGAUGUUACACAUGCUAUUUACUAUGUUUCAAUAUAUUGUUCUCGCAUGUUUCAGUCAUAUGUAACAUGGGAGAAUAAUAUUUGCAACAUCAAAAAAUAAUAUAUGUAACAUCAUAAAAUUUGAUAGAUUUUACCCUAAAAAUCUGUCGACAGAUAAACAGACACUGCUAGUUGUAUCUGAACUCGACUUUUCAAGACGUCUGCAAGAAGAGUUGGAUGAACGAACAUCAUGCAGCUUUAGGUGCCAACAAGGCUAGUGACAAGAGAUGGAAAUCAAACACAUUGCAUGAUCGUAAAAGACAAAAGAGCAGGCAUGCAUGUCAUGUGACGAGCUAGGUGAUAUACCAUCCCAUGCCGUUAUACAACGUGUUCGGCUGGCUGCUUUGCAGCGGAGCCAGCCAAACAACUACUUCAGAUAUGGUAAGAGGCUCUGCCUGCUACUGCACCAGCAUCCGAGCAGCAGCAGCCAGCCGAACACGCUGAUACUAAUGUAACACGCAACUAGAGAAGGAAAUUGACGUGUCUCGUGUUUGUUAGUGGCCUCACUUAAUCAUUGACACAUCUUCGAGGUCUGUAAGCAUCGAACGAUUAGCGAAAUUUCUAGCCGUCUAGGGCAUCUGGUCACUUUAUGCUCAACACUGGUAUUUUAUUUUUCAAAAAUGAAAUACAGCAGGCCUGUUUUCUGGGUACUCACCCAACGGCUACUGCCAUGGCGAAGGUGAUCGCCGGUAUCAAGUUCGUCAUGGUCGUGGCCAGCGAUGAGGUCCCUAAGUGCAGCCCUUGGUAGCACAGGUUCUGGUUCACCGUUGCUCUGUUGCACAAAAUGGAUACAUAGUUGUUGAUUGAAAACAGAGGAAGCAAAAUGUUGGCACGCUACCACUUCAUUUCCCAUGAGCAAGAAUUUGUACCCAAACAAAGCUGCCAUGAACACCAAGAAGAAGCCUUUCAUCCCAAGCCUCAUGUCCUUCAGCAUGCUCCUGACCAGUUCAGAUUCCAGAAAGAAUCACAACAAAGAUUACAACAGGCUGAAGCAGAGUGCGUGCGGGGUUAUAAGAAACGCUGGAGGAAAGAGGAGCAGCGUCACUGAUCGAUCAGAAUAUCAGAUCCUACCGGUUGGAGACGAUGGCGAUGGGAGCGAGGACGAGGGUGGCGACGGCCUGCCUGUAGACGACGAAGACCGUGGGGCUCAUGCCGCCGGCGAACGCCGCCUUGACCCACAGCGUCAUGGCCGCGAAGAUGCACUGCGUGGCAACCAUCGCCGCGCACGGCCUGUACCCCUCCACGACCGCGCGGAUGUGGCCGCCGGCCAUGUGUCCGGCUAGGCACCGGAGUGGACGGAGAGGGAGAGAGAAUUGCGAGCUCGGAAUCUACGGCACCGCGCGGAAGAGAGCUGUGUGUACUGACGAGCUCGCGCCUGUGCUCUGCUCCCUCACUGACUCGCGCUUGUGUACGCCUGGGAAGGGAGCAGCGGGCGAAUCCGGCUGCGGGCGGUCGGCGUUCGAUUGGCGGAUAGCCCAUAGCCACGCGCACCACGUCUUUGCAUCCGCCUGUUGGUGCGAGAAAUACAAAUGUUAUACUCCAUGCUCUCUAGCAAUUCUAAUAGAAUGUUUUAGGGUACGGUAUGCAAGAAUUUGUUCAUUUCAAAAUUUAUUUAUUCAUUAACUUUUAUCCAUUUUCUAACACAAUAUUCGUAUAUAGAUAUUUCUGAAUCUUUUUCAAAUUGCGGUGGAACCCAGUUACCAAUUAUUCUAUAUUGUUUGAGGUUUCCAUCUAUAUUCGUAGUGUUUCCCCUUACGCUGAACUUCCGUAUGUGUUCAACAAUCAACACGUACUGUAUUAGCUAAAACCUGGAGCUUUAGCUGUGUCAGCUCAUGUUGUAGCUCAUCUAUCAUUACUUCAUGAAUAUAUAAUUUAUCUUCCAAUUUAUAUCUUGUUAUUAUUUGUAAGAAAAACGUAUUUCCUCCACAAAUCCAUCUCUUUGAAAUUUCGUAAAAGGCUUGAUUACAUGUCCUCAGUUACACUUUUAGCUACUCUAAUGGCAUAUUAAUUCAUUUUAGCCUGCACUGCAAUGCCCAUUAUGCAAAAUGUCAUACCCAGUUUUAAGGAUAAAAUCAAGUGCUACCUAUAUGUAUGCCAGGAUCAAGUUUCAUAUAUAUAUAGUGACAUCAUAAGUGAAUAACAGUAACAGUAUCACGUAAAAAGAUUCAAAUAAAGACUUACGAAACCAUCAGAGAUACACAGCUUAAAUACUGGAAAUGGAGGCUCCAAACUUCACAAGCAAUCGACUGGGCGUUGUGUACGCCUAGAACUCAGCAUCAUCUUCGGAAUACUUCACACACCUUCUUCUUCUGAGCAGCAGUAAGCAAGGGUGAGUACACUUAUGGUUGGUACUCAGCAAGGCCACUAGAAAUAACCAGAAUAACAAUUUAAGUCCAUCUUCAAGUUUAAUUAAUCAUGUGAGGGUCCAGGCCGUUCUUGACCGUGAGCACGGCUGAUCAAUCAGUUUUACACUCUGCAGAGGUUGCACAUCUUUACCCACAAGUCGCGUAAAAGUUCAGAAGAACUUUGGACCCAACCAUGCGAUGCUAGCUAGGCAUCAUACCACACUUCCGAGGUGUGAUUGCAUAGGGACGCUACGAGGCCUUUACAAAGAUUCGCUAGUAAGUGGUAACCCGCUAAGGUUUUCGGAUCAGUAGCAGAGCAUAACAGUCCCCUAGUGGGUACAGUGUCUUAGCAAAGCCCAUUUCCUAAGAGAGCGAGUGCUAUACCCCAUCUGUCGCCGCCCUUCUUGCCCUUUCGGUAAGAUUACCCCAGACUAUAGUUUCUAAUUAUUCAGCCAAGACCAGAGCCAUUUAGUCUUGUGGUAGCACUGUUUUCCUAGGUGGUUCUCCAUGUUCCCAUUAACUUUAUCAUGAUAUUAUUAACAAAGCAUAGGUAGAAGGAUGGUUAGGGACACUUGCCUUUCUCCAACGAAAAGUUACUCUUACUGCUCUUCAGCUCUUGCUCUCUUCAAACUCUUACUCUUCAAAUCUUCCGAACAACAAAUCUUCUACUCGAAGCAAACACCGACACAAACAUACAAGCAAACAAAAAAAAGUACAACUAAGAACAAUACACUAAAACAAAAAGAAAAGCUUUAAAAGAGCGUACUAAAGGAUAGGGCUCGAUUCUAAGAUUACGCGAACGGAAGAGACGCUGAGAAUAGAGCUAUGAUUGAUAAGGCAAAACUGUCGAGAGAUUUUGGAUUAUAAAAGGAAAGACAAGAGCUAUACAAGCUUCAUUUAUUUUAGUUGAGAAAAACAAUGUAAAGAUAUUUUAGAGAAAUAUCCUUAGUUAGUAUUAAUCAAGUCAUAUUUAUAUUUUCAUAAGAAAAGGCGGUGUAAAGUUUAGUCCAAUUUUAUUUAUAAAUAUUUGAGUACAAUUUAUGCAAAUUAAAUAUUUAAUUUAAAAAUAAGAUACAUGUUGACAUCUAAGCGUAUAGCUUUACAUUUCGAGUUCAACUAAGUAGAUUAAAUUAAAAACACAUUUAUUUUUAUAUUAGUCAAAUUAAUAUUUAAUUAUGAAAACUCGAGAUAUAACCUAAUUGUCUUUUAUUUAGAAAAUAAUAUAAAGUAGGCAUUAAUCAAGUUAACAUUUAAUUAUGAAAAACGAUAUAUAACACUAAAUAGAUUUUAUUUAGAGAAGAACUCGUUUGUUAGGCAUUUAAUCAAUUUUAAUAUAAAUUUUAUUUUCAAAAAUAUGUGUGAAGGAAAAUAUUACCACUAACGUGUAAUUUAUGUCAUUAUGAAUCUAACGCAACUUGAACGGACAAAAAUAAAAUUAAAACGUAGAAUCUAUGGGUUAAACGAGUUGCAAGGGCCCAAACGCAAUUAACCGUACACCUCAAGGGUUAGCAAGGAAGAAUUGCAAGACACCAGGAAUAGUCUCAAAAUUUGAGUUUUCCUCAGGAGCCUAAUAGCAAAAUCACCAUCUCAUCUUCAACCUUCCAACGCACUCCAACUGGUAACACGAUGGCCGUCGGCCGUGGUCCAGGCCGGUCCUGCCGGCGGCGACGGCCGGGGCCGGGGUGGCUCGCGCGAGCGGCGGGUGACGGCGCCAUCAGGGAGGCCCGGCCGGCGGCUCCGGCGGCGCAGCGAGCAGGCGGCGAGCAGGAGUGACGGCCGGCGCGUGAGCCAUGGGCGGCGGUGGUGCGGCGCGAUGCGCAAGCAAGGAGGCAAUAGUGCGCGUGCGGCGACGGCACAAGCAAGCAGGAGGUGGCUGGGCGAGCAGGAUGAACGGACCAGGCGGCGGCCAUGGUUACGGACGGUUCAGUUGCGUACAUAAACAGAGAAAGAGAAACAUAGAGAGAGGAAGAUGGAAAGCUGGAAACGAAGUCCGAUCUCGCGAAUGAAUGCCAAAACGGAACGAUAACGACGAGACGAACGAGAUGGUGUGCUCACCUUCGGCCGAUGACUGAUGGUUUCGUCGGAUUUGCUCGCCGGAGUUUCGCCGGUAACCGAACUUUGACUUCAGAUCUACGGAGCUCGGAGAGUCAACUCACGAAAAUAAUUUUAGAUCUGAAAUUUUCGCGUCGAGACGAACGCGGUAAUAUAUAUAUAGACCGGGAAUAUUUUCGAGUUGACUUUUUAUUUUUAAAAUUUCUGAUUUUAUUUAUCUGCGUGAAAAUAAUUUCAGAAAUAGCCGGACUCAUUUUCUAAAGCAAGAAAAAUACCUAGAAAAUUCCAAAAAAUCUGAGAUAAUCUCAGAGAUGGAUUGGGACACAAAAAAUUCAAAUAAAAUAUUAAAGCUUGUGAAAAUGAUUCUAGAGCCUUCCAAAAAUUAGAUUUAACUUUAGAAAAAGGAGAAUAAUUUUCAGAAACAGCUGGAAAAUUCUCGAAAGGAUCUAGACAACGUCUAAAUGCAUUUUUAAAACUUUUUGCACUCAAGAAAUACCAAGAUGCAUCAGCAUGAAUGCACAGACAUAAAAUAUCAUUAUUUAAUUUAGAAAAAUGAACAAUUAGUUUGCUAUACUAAAUUUCCUGUAAAGAAAAAUAAAGGUGGGUAAAAUUUUAAAAUUAUGAGAAAAUUAUUGUUUAUUUAUUCUUUUUAUUCACGUCCUGAAAUUCGGAAAUUUCAGGGUGUGACAUAAAAAUUCCUCUAUUAAAAAAACUACGAGCACAAUAUGACCCUUUUACAAAAAUGUAAGGUGAAUCUUUAUCUUUAAAGACCGAAACCUGGCAGAAUUACGCUAAUUUCGUCGCUCCACGUCACGCUGACGUCGUAGCCAUCCGUUUUGAGCUCCUCUCAAUUCUCAGCCGUUCGAUCUCGUACGGACGGCACAACUUCUCUGGACUUGACCCGACGUAGCUAGGUGUGUCCCCUUUUGAAUUAGACAAGGGCUACUUCCACCGUGCGACUGCUCCACCGCCGGUUGCAGGGCUGGACGCCAAGCGCCGCGGCCUACGGUCUUGGCGGCUCGUAACAGGGCCAGGCAUGAGGAGUGCAGCCUGUACAACCGUACAGGGCCUCCAUUUCCUUAGGCCUCUAUUUUUUUCUACUCUACAAGCCUACAGCUCAUCAAACACAGCAAUAGCUGGUUCAAACCAGGCAUGACGCACUCUAGAAGGUCUGAGGUUGAGGCGUGAAUCAUUUUCUCAUGCAGCAGGUGCAGAUUAGGAGGCAACAGCCCAAGGUCAGGACGCUGGACUAUUGGAGUCUCGAACUUUGGAUGCGCUGCAGGCCAGAGUGCAGUGUGCACCUCAAGGCUCGGCCUUGCACAUCAAAACCGGGUUAAGGACUCAUGGAAAUCUUUUAUUCUUCAAUUCUACUUUCUAUCUUGCGCAUAUGAACAAUUAAUCUAUUAUAUUACUAGCUCUAAAUUCUUUAUUACUUCUUAUUACUUGACAUACAUCCUUUAAUAAUGUAAUUCAUCUUUUGUACACAUGUGUAUGAAUUGGUCUAGGGGUCUAUUGUUCCAAGACUGAAGCCAUGUUUUAUACAAUCCUCUAGAAAAUAUGAUUGCGGGCGUCAAAAUCGUAAAAAAGACAAAGAAUAGAGGAAUUAAUUCAAUUUCAUUGCUGCGUGAGUGUAAUAUAUUUUAGCUUAAACACUCGUAUUGCUCAUAUUUCUUGGACAAGAGGGGCCGUUUCAGAGUUUGGACAGGGCCCUGAAUUUUGCUGGCCCGACCCUGCUCGCUAAGGUCCACUGCUCACCGCCAUAGGACUCUAGCUUGAGGAGGUCCGCCUACCACCGCCACCAGCUUGGGAAGGUGUAGGGUUGGACAUGAAUGUCUGGAAAUCCGAAUUAUCCGAAUUCAUAUCCACUAAAAACACUAAUACGGAUAUCCGUAUUCAUAUUUGUUUUUAAUGUGAAUGUCAAAUGGAUGUAUCUGGAUUUGAUUUUUAGUAUUUUUCUCUAUCCGGUACCAUAUUCGUAUUCGAAAAAAAUAUGAAAUAUCCGACAUUAUCCGUAUCCGUAAAGAAUAAAGUACCAAUGAAGCCAUCUAAAACUUAUUUAUAUUACUAAAUACUAAUUACAAAUGAUGUUAACUUUAAUAUUACUAAUAAAAUAAUUAUUUACACCAUUUAAACUAUUAAAAAUUAUCUAUAUGACAAAUGACUAAUUAUGUUAACCUAAUAUUACUAGGGAUAUAUAAUGAUAAAUUUUAAUUAAAUUUAAUAUAACUAAUCAUAUUAAUUUAAAUACAUUUAUUAUCUAUUAAAUGAAUAAAUAAUAUUUAAAUGUAUUAAUGAACUUAUUUUUAUUAUUAAAUGAUAUAUAUUUAUGGAAAUACUUAUUUUUAUAUUUAUUUGAUAUAUUUAAGGAUCAUCUCCUUCAGCUUUCUCCUGAAUGAUUUGGCUUCCAUGAUUAGGUGGUUCUGAAGAAGUGAAAGUAGCCAGUGUUGCUGAUGAUCACUGGCCGCUCGGACCUUUUGGCCAUGAUGGCGAUGGGGCGAGGGCAAGGGUGGUGGCGAAGCCCUGCCUGUAGACGACGAAGACGAUCCCGGGAGAACGCCGCCUUGGCCCAGAGCGUCAAGGCCGCGUAGAUGCACUGCGUCGCCACCAUGGCCGCGCACGGCUUGCACCCCUCCGCGACCGCGCGGAUGCCACCGGCCAUGGCUGCUGCGUCCCGCGCGCCGGGCAGAAAUGGCUAGUACCUGAGAUGAAUAUCUCCUCAGCCGGCGCGACGAGCAACUAGUACUUAUCGGCCUGUUCCCUUUCGUGUAUGCCGUAUGGGCAUAGCACUACAAGUCUACAACUGCCCAGUGACCAAUUAGCUGUUAUCACACGUCUCUCUACUAUCAGACACCCCCGCCCAUACGAGGGCAUUUCCAAAAAUAUUAUAAACCAUGUGUCAACAAGCCGAGCUUAAUCCAGUAGCUCAAGCUCUUGACCUAGUUUAAAAGGUCGCCCUGAUAUUGAUCGGACCACACGGGCUGACAGGCGUCCUUUUUGUGAGCUAGGGAAGGUAUGCUAGGCUUGUGAUGUCAGCAGCUAGUAGUAGUAGGCCCAAACGCUACAGACCCAAACACGCCAUAGCACGCACGAAUGCCACAAAGCUGCUCUGGAGUGGACAGUCAACGUGGACGCCGCGGCGGUGGGCCGGUGGCGGGCGGCGAAGGAGCGGAUCUAGGAUCCGGGCUGGGGGCUGCAGCCCAGGUCCAUCCCAAGAUCGUCCGUAUGACUAUGUAGGCUAGAUCUCAGCUCAAGGCAAAUAAAAGGCACAAGAAGCUAGCGCUAGCCUAGUUCCCCUGCAGCAGCCCGGGCCUGGACCAUCUCUGGGUCCGCCCCUAAGCGGCUCGGCACAUUUUGAUAAGCAUGCAGGUCAAACGUGACCACCCAAACUCCAUGACAAAAAAUGGGAGUGCACCGCAGUGCACCAAUGGUACAAUCACCCCGAAUCUGCUGACGCAACCGUGUGGUGAUCCUUGAGACACGGCAUCUCUACUUCUCCACUGGACGUCUGGACCGGCGGCGUCCGCCAGCAGGAGCGGCUCGACGAUGCCGUUGCCGGCGUCGAGCAUCGAAUCCGACCGGGUCAUCGUCUUCUCCAGAUCGUCCGCUUGCUCCGGCUCCCUCCCUCUCUUGCCCCCUUCGCCCGCCUUGCCCCACAGCACGACGUACAACCCCGCGAUGACGGCGAACGCCCCCAACAAGCUCAAUAGACAAAUAUCAGAAAAGGAUCACAAAACUCCUGCAGGUUAAUAACUCUCUUCGAAGUGGACAGUCGUCCAAGCGCUGAAGCGCAACAGACCUGCCGACGUGCAGCUCUUCCCGGAGCACGACCGCCGCGAACACGGUGGUGAUGACGGUGCAGAGCGGGUUGAACAUGGCCGAGUAGAGCGGGCCCCUUACCGAGAUGCACCACGACUGCAGGUAGAACGUCACGCCCGACCCGAACACGCCCUGCGCACAACACAGUUCACGCCGCCACCGCGACAUCGAUCACCUCCAAGCUAGGUUACAUGGAAACGGCACAGGAAGCUAGCAAGUCAUGGCGAAGAAUGGUUACCGAGAAGAGGUAGCAGGAGAGCUCGAAGAGCGAGUGGGUCCGCCAGGCGGCCGGGUCCGGCUGGAGGAAGCAGCGCGUACUGCAGCGUGGACAGGAGGCACAUCCACGCCGACAGCGCCAGAGGGUCCACGUAGGACUUGCAGAUGGGCACCUGCAGGAUGAGCCAGAGCGACCAGCAGGAGCUGCUGCCCACGAGGAACAGCGCGCCCACCACACACCUGUUGCUUCCCGCCGGCAAGUGGAGAAGAACCUGCAGGUCGCCGAGCAGCUUCGGGCCCUUGAAGAAGGCCAUGGCCAUGGCGCCGCCGACGCAGACGCACGUGCCGAAUAUCUUGGCCAGGCUCCUCGGUCUCCUCGCUUCCACCUUCUCAAGGCUGUCGUGUGAAUCAGAAAGAGGGGCAUCACCAACGUUUUCCGGACGAAUUUAUAGCAUCAGAAACAAAGUUUCAGACAAAUCGAGACAAUACUGAUCUUAGCUAAGGUCCUGUUUGGAUACACCCUCCUAAAUAUUAGGAGUCCAUUUUUAGGACACUUUUAGGACUUGUGCAUCCAAAUAUGGGUCCUAGAAGUGCACUCAUAAACUUUAGGAGGGCUAUUUUCAUUAGGAGGGCCAAGGCAUCCUAAUGAAGGCCUGUUUGGAUACACCCUCAUAAACUUUAGGACACUCAUAAAGUUUAGGAGCUAGAAAUUGGUAGUCCUAAAAUUUAUGAGUGGGCUGUUUGGAUGGAAUCAUAAUCUUUAGGAUGUUAGAGGGGAAAUGACUUUUGUACCCCUAAUUACUCCACCCCUGCUCUGUUUUUAGCGCCAUGGAGAGAGAAGGGGAGGGGCAACAGGAGUAAAGGAUGGGUUGGGGACCACUUUUAGGAGAAAAAUGACCCAUUAUGAUGGUUUGGUCCUCCUAAUGAAAAUAGCACUCCUAAACAUUAUGAAUGCAAUUUUAUGACAUAUGUUUGGAUGCACAAGUCCUAAAAGUGGACUAAAAGUGAAGUUCUAAAGAUUAUGAGUGUGUAUCCAAACAGGCCCUGAGUCCUUUUUCUCCUAAAAGUGGUCCCCAAACCCCCCUUACCCCUAUUGCCCUCCCCAAGCAUUUAAUGACGUGAACAGUGCAGGAGCAUUUAGAGGAGUAAUUAGGGGUAAAAAAGUUAUUUUCCCUCUAACAUCCUAAAUAUUAGAAUUCCAUCCAAACAGUCCUCUCCUAAAUUUUAGGACUACCAAUUUCUAAAUCCUAAACUUUAGAACAAUCCUAAACUUUAGGAAUUUAUAUCCAAACAAGCCCUAAUAGAUCCUAUUUCUCCUAAAAGUGGUCCCCAAGUCCCCCUUUGCCCCUAUUGCCCUCGCAUGCAUUAAUGACAUGAACAGUGCAGGGGUAGUUUAGAGGAGUAAUUGGGGGGUAAAAAUGACAUUUUUCCGGUAAAGUCUUAAAGAUUAGUAGUCCAUCCAAACAGCCAUGUACUAAACUUUAGGACUAGCAAUUUGAGGGUACUAAACUUUAGUACACUACUAAUCUUUAGGAGUUUGUAUCAAACAGGGCCUAAAGUUUAGUAGUGUACACCCUCAAAUUCUAUUCCUAAAGUUUAGUACAUGGCUGUUUGGAUGGACUACUAAUCUUUAGGACGUUAGAGGGAAAAUGUCAUUUUUACCCCCUAUUACUCCUCUAAACUACCCUGCACUGUUCACGUCAUUAAUGCAUGAGAGGGCAAUAGGGGUAAAGGGGGACUUGGGGACCACUUUUAGGAGAAAUAGGAUCCAUUAGUACCCCUUAGCCCUCCUAAUGAAAAUGGCCCUCCUAAAGUUUAGGAGUGCACUUGUAGACCCAUGUUUGGAUGCACAAGUCCUAAAAGUGGACUCCUAAUCUUGAGGAGGGUGUAUCCAAACAGGACCUAAGGCCAAUCUCAGUGGAGGUUUCAUCAGGAGUUUCAUGAUCAUUAAAUAACAUUCCACAUCAGCAAUUUUACUGACGUGAUAAGGUCAUUAUGAGGAGAAAGAGGAGAGAAAGUUUCAUCAUAUGUGAGAGAAGUUUCAUCACCAUGAAACCUAGCAGGCAAAGUUACCAAGUUCUCAAUCUUGGUAACUGUGCUAUAAAACUAUGCAUUGAGACUGGCCUAAUCAGGCCAGCCUCAGUGGGUGUCAUGGAGGGUUUCAUGGGUAUUAAAUUCUAUGUCAUAUCAGCAGUUUUGCUGACUUGGCAAUCUAAUCACGAGGAGAAUGGAGAGGAGAGUUUCUCCCAUGAAACCCACUUAGCAUAGUUACAAGCCCAUGAAACCCAAUGAAAAUUGCACAGAGGAUGUUAUAGUUUCAUCGUAUGACACAUUUGAUCAUAACUCUAUGAAAAAUUAAAUGUUGUCGGUUGUCUAUGAAACUUUACACUGAAAGUGACAAUUUCAUUUUAUUGAAAAGAUGACACGGUAGUGCAGCGAGUCUCACAGAACCAGGGACAGAUCACUGAAACCAUGCAGCGAGUCUCACAGAACCAGGGACAGAUCUGAUUGAAGACGACGAUCCAUUGCAUGAGUGACAUAUUCUGGGAGCUAGUGAAUGUGUCAACAUAAUUUAACAUGCAUGCAAAUCAAAGUGUGCGUGAACCUACAAUCAUUUUGUCCCAACUGAAAACUACGAAGCAACAAGCUGGAAAGUGUUCUGCAUGGAACGAAGAAACAUUAUGUUUCUGGAUGCUGACAAAGAGUCAGACUGUCAAAGUAGUAUGCUUGCUGCAUGCAUGACCUGGAGCUCUGUUCCCAAUGAAUAACCGCACAGAAGGAAUGAUGUGAGUAUGUGACUAGACGCCAUGGAAGCUACUAGCGUAUCUUGUUAUGCCGGGACUCCAUGCCUCCCGUGACAUCUCCUGGUUUUGGACUCGACCUCCGACCUCGCAUAACAGAGAAACAGAUAGAUCGCCGAUUUGUUCAGUGUUCACUACUGCAAGUUUCCGAUUUUUUCUUUGGAGCUCAUGUAGAUUUCUUUGUUGGUUUUUGAGUCCUAAUUUGGAUUUUGGAACGAAUGAAUUGCACAGAAAUAAUCAGUUAAAAAGCGGCCUGAGAUCUAGUGAUAUAUUCCCAUCCAAGAAAGGGAGUGAUCUGAUCUGUUACCCCGGUAGCUAAGCAAGAUUAAGCAUCAUAUGUUCAUGCGGUCAUGUUUGGAACAGAUUAAAUCCAGCUUAUGACCAAAAUAAAUCGAAACUAGAAGCCAAACAAUAUAUUUUUUCAGCUUAUUUUUAGCCGCGCUUCUCCCCACCACCUCCAUUUGUACUGAAACGCAGAAGCCAGUUCAGAUCUGCUUCUCAAAUAAACAUUAUUUCAAUAUUUAUACAACUUAUUUAAGAAGCGCUUCUUCCUGCCGCGGUUUCGAACAAGACCAUAGGUCCAGGUGCGAAUGCAUUAUUGAGUGAGGUGGCACGUUGGUCCCGGCUCAAACAGGUGCAGGGCGUGCAGCCACAAGGAGCCAAACUAAUGCAGCAGUAUUAGACGACAGUGGAGGGCAGAUCAGAAACAGUGUCCUGCUAGUACUUCGCUAGUGCACUGAAACGGAUUCUCUGUCAGGUACUCACCCGACUGAUGCUGCCAUGACGAAGGUGAUGGCAGGAAUCAAGUUGGUCAUGGCCGUCGCCAUGGAUGACGAACCCAGAUGCACCCCUUGGUAGUACAGACACUGAUUCACCGUUGCCCUGUCGCAUGCGUAGAGCAAAAGAGAUCUAAAAUCUCAUAGAUAAGAAACCGAAAAGGUUCCACUAUGCUGGAAACGAAUAUUGGUGUUGUUGAUCGUCGAUGAUCGCGAUCUUCCAAGCGUGUGUUAUAUAGUUUUGCUAUUGCAUAUCCGAUAAGAGACGCGAUGAAGACCAACGACGAGAAUCCUACGAUUCCAAGGCCCGUCAUCGUCUCCGUCAUCUUCUUCCUGCAGAGCACCAGUCACGACCGACGAUCAAAAUCAUCAGUGAAACAUGUAUACUAUACAGGAAGAACUCUGGAAGUUCUAUGGGAACAGAUUUAAAGAUAUAUUUAACUGGAUCAUUAACUAACAGAUUUAAAGAUAUAUUUAACUGGAUCAUUAACUCCUAUGAGUUAAGGGAUCUUGUAUUGAACGGAGGGUUGUACACAUGGAGUAAUAAUCAUGUUGAUCCCACCUUAGAGAAACUGGAUAGGGUCUUGAUAAGCGAAGAUUGGGGAAAGGAAUUCCCCAUAACAAAUCUCAGGAAAAUUCCUACAUACAUGUCAGAUCACAACCCUAUGUUGUUGUGUACUGACCAAAAGAAAAUCAGGAAAACAAAGCAAUCUUGGAGACUUCCUGGAUCAAGCACAAAGACUACCUUCCUAGAAUUUAGAAGAUCUGAGGUGAAAGGGUGGUUGUUAAAAAUGUUGUAGAAAAAUGGUACAUUAAAGUCAACAGAGUCAAAAAGUUCUUGAAAGGCUGGGAUAUAAACUUGAGAGAUCAAAAUAGAAGAUACAAACAUAUUCUCCAAACUAAAUUAAUGGAAUUAGAAAAGAAAGAAGAAGAGGGCAUGCUGUCAAGAGAACUUCUAAAUAGGAAAAUUUUUAUCCAAACUGAACUGUCGAGAAUGCUACAAGAAGAGGAGCUAUAUUGGCACAAAAGAUCCAAUACUAAGUGGCUUCUAAAAGGAGACAAUAAUACUGACUUCUUUCACAGAGUUGCUAACGGAAAAAAAA